UUAAUGACUUAAGGACUUACGAUUGCUCUAUGCACCGGACGGGAUCAGAAAUAGGAGCUAGAUGGAGGAUGGACGUGUAACCCAAUCCAAUAGAAGUGUAUAAGUAGGCAUUUCUAUCAAUCUAUGCUUGUAAGUCAGUCUAUGCUAUGUAGGUGUAUUAGUUGUCUGAACAAAGACUCAUAAGCACAAUUUGACUCCCUCUUAAAGGCUUGCCUUGGA
RNAcentral lists this long non-coding RNA (219 nucleotides) under Nicotiana benthamiana. RNAcentral's name for it is "long non-coding RNA (NBEN_LNC006507)". Lineage: Eukaryota; Viridiplantae; Streptophyta; Magnoliopsida; Solanales; Solanaceae. The record is from RNAcentral.